AAUGAAGUGCCUGAUCUAAAAGGGUUAUUUUGAUAGAAUAAAUUAUGUAAAUUUUUACCUUCAUUA
RNAcentral lists this transfer RNA (66 nucleotides) under Pterostichus niger. RNAcentral describes it as "tRNA-Ile". Lineage: Eukaryota; Metazoa; Arthropoda; Insecta; Coleoptera; Carabidae. The record is from RNAcentral.